RNAcentral lists this long non-coding RNA (7230 nucleotides) under Homo sapiens (human). RNAcentral describes it as "HLA complex group 18". The record is from RNAcentral. Lineage: Eukaryota; Metazoa; Chordata; Mammalia; Primates; Hominidae.
GACGCAGUCGCGGGGCGCUGGGACGCGGCUUGCGGAGCCGGCCGGCGAGCGCAGGCCCCAGGCUCGGGCGCGGCGGCGGGACAGCACCUACCUUCCCGGCUUCGGGUCCGGGAGUGCGGGGCGCGGAGCCGCCGGAGCGCUGCCUCCCUCCUUCCUCCUCCCCUCGCCCCCGCCCCGCGGCGCGACACACAAUACUCGCCGGAAGCGGAAGCCGCGCCGAGGCUCGUGUCAGUGGAAGCUGGGGUGUCGGCGGGCGGCCGCGGCCGGGUCUAGCGGUGCCUGCGGAAGAAGGAGGAGGAGGGCUGGCGAUGAGAAGCAGCAGGGGGAAUCAAGGGCAAGAAGGGACCCAGAGGGGCAGGUGGCUGAGAUGCUGGCGUCCAGGUGACCCGAGGAAUCCUCUGGAGAUACAGGCCCGCGCAUGCGCGUGCUCGAGCGCUGAAGCCCAUUGCCCGCAGGGCGCUGGACUGGCGCCCCGGCCGGCGAGGCUGUCUAGUCCAGGCUCCAGGCCCCGGCUCUGGCCAGGCGCCGCCGCCUCCCGGUGCAGCUGAAAGUCGACGAAGAGGGCGGGGCGGGGGCGGCUUGUGGACUUCCACACUUUUCCUCUCUUCGGGCCAGUCUGGGGAGAGGGUGGCUAGCUGUGGCGGCGGCCAAUUACGUGGCGGACCUGCGGGGCUAAGCUGGCACGUCACUUCCGACUAGUGGAGUUUUUAGCCUUUUAACAUUCAAGGAUUAGAGCUCCCUCUUUGCCCACUAGCAGGGCAUUAGCUGGUGCUGAAGACAGUGGCUGCUUGGCGAGCCUGGAUCUCCAAGUGACCCCCUCAGCAACUCCUGAUGAACAGGACUGAAGCCAAUAUUAAAGCAAGUCAACCAAAGGUUCUCUGGUGUAGACAAGACAGCAAAAGGACAGACUACCUUGUGGAACCUAGCAUUGUUCUCCUUCUGCAGCACUAAGUAACAUUUGUUCUCCGUUAAGAUCUUUGCAAACCACACACAAGAAUUGCUGGUCAUCCUGCCAAUAGAUGCUGCUCACAGAACCAAAUUUCCUGUGCUGAAUUGUCACUCAUGGGCUUGAGAGUAGGAGACUGGAGACCAAGGUGGCUAGAAUCCAGUUGGGCCUGAUGUCUCCCUGUUGAAAGGGCUCCUUGUGGAAUGAAUAGCACAUGGCUCCUGUGGUGGAUCUGAUAGUGGCAUAGCACCAAGUGAUGCAGGCCUGCCAGGGGCCACAGACACAGAAGAUGCUCCCGGGGUCCCCCAUGUACUCCAGACACACUGCAGGCCACCUCUCCCAGCAGGUUGCCAGUCAUGGGCCCCAUCAUCAUGACUUCUGUCCAAGGUACUGUGUGCAGAAAUGUGAUUGAGAUUCAAGUCAGGGCCUCUCUGCCCUUUUCCCUCCAGAAACAAAACCAAGAUAAUUUAUCCUGAACACGGUGAAAAAAGGAAGGGAGGGAGGAGAAAAAGUCCGGGUCUCACCUGGGAUUCUCUGUCUCCUGCAACAUGAAGGAUUUAGCCUGGGAGGAGGUGGUGAGAACUCUGGGAGAGAAAAAAGAAGGAAAGAAUAGUUUUACCCAUGCUGAAGUUAAUUUAAACCUUCACCUAGAGAAGCAAAAAAAAAAAACCCACACUUUCCCAUUUUGUGCCUCCCUUCCUAGAGUUUUAGCCAAAGGUUUAGCUAAGUAAUUGGUUUUACCAGCGCACUCACUCCUCCUAUCCCAAGUCUGUUUGACUCCCUCCCCAUCAUCCUCCUCACCUCUUUUCAGGCAGGGUGGGGAUAGCAGCAGGAGGAGAUUUUGGGAGCCUGGCAACUCCUGCAAGGACCGCAGGACAGCCCCUCUGUGGGGAUGCGUGGUGCCCCAUCUGCCGCCCUUCUGAAGAAUGCACUGCCUUCACUUUUUACUGUGUUAGAGUCCAUCCAGACUGUUCUAUCCAAAAAAGUUUCUUUUUCCCCCACAGGCAAUCAGGAAAUGAUUCCUUUCCCGACUGCUUCUGUCUAGUGCCUGGGAAUCUUGAGUCAAUCCCUCAGUAAGUCAGUGACUAGGGAAAUCCCUCUCUGAGCCUCCCAGUUCAUGUUGCUUAGGGAACCUGAUAUUUUCGUGAAACCUGCCUACACAUGGGCAGCCCAACAGCAGAACAAAUGGUGGUGACCAAAGUGAACAAAGAAGUAUAGUUGUGCCAGCUUCGUAGUUGCCCAUGUGGACAAGUCAGCAGGAUCAGGACACGAGGAAGAGUAAAUGUGAGACAGUCAAUGUGACUUCUGCGAUAAACAGAUUUUUAAACCCCGAAAUUUUGCAAAAUUUUGGUGAAACCUGAACUUUCUUCGUUGCAUAUACUGGCACUAUCUGUACCAUCAUACAACUGUCUCACAUUAAAGCUAUUUUUCUUGGGCACUGAUGAGUAAGGUUGGUAUAAGUUCCUCAGAUCAACAAAAACCCAUUUUCCUGUAAGUCUUACAUUUAGUAUUUAAGGAACUAAAACUUAAAUACAUUUUGUGAAAUGGUUGACACUUCACUGAUAAUGAUUUAUUGCUUGGAUUAAUAAAUUUUCCAAAAGUUGUCUUAUGUAGAAUAUGGUUUGCAACCAGCAGAACCAUUAAUCUAUACUGCAAUGAUAUGCACUAUGUAUAAUUGUUUAAAAGCCUCUACUUAAUGAUGUAAAAUGCUCUAUUUAAUUACACAUUUGGGUAAACUGUAUACUAACAUCUGAUGGCAUUUUUCCACUGUUUGUUGCUUUUUUCAAAUACUUUAUUGUACAAAGCUGUUCUUAAUAUUUUUCAAGUUUUUUUCUUUGAAUUUUGCUAAUGUUUUCCUUGAAUUAUGAGCACUGACAGAAUGUGCUUAGCACUUUUGGCUAUUCACACAGCUUUUGAGCAUGAUUUGCAUCCAAUAUUUACAUUGCUAGCAAUAAUAAGCCAUCUGUGAGUUUUGUCAAAAGUUAUUGGGGAUUUUUUAAAUUUUAGAAAUGCAAAUUAUUGUUUCUUUGAACUAACUCUUAUGCAGUUGCAAAGGCAUUUCCAGUUGUUAUAGUUUGUGUACAAUAUCAGGUGUUCCAGAUUAUGAUUCAUUAUUAAUAUCAUUGCUUCCUUGUUCCCUCUGAGGUCCAGAAGAUUCAUGUUUACAAUAUUUAGAAACAAUGUUAAAAAGGUAUCCAAAGUUUGUCACUUUAUUAUUAGUUUGUUCUUAAUAUUCUGUUUAAGUUUUUGAAUUCAUAGAUAUCAAAACGCUGCACAAUUAUGAUUUCCACAGGAAUAACAACACACUAACAAUAAGAACCAAAAACAGCAAAUAGGCUGCCUACAAGUUUUGACAAUAUUAGGAUAAUGAUAAUGACAGUUUUUCUAAAUCUCACAGUAAAGAAUGCAGCAACCCAGCAACACUGCUACCUGUGGCCUCAGGCUGCAGUGUCAGCUCUUCCCUGGGUCUCCAGCCUGCCAGUCUAACCUGAAAAUUAUGUACUUGCCAGCCCCCACAGUCACGUGAGUGAACUGGCCCAGGCUGGUCACCAGGGUCAGUUUCUCUGUGUGUCAUUAAUUCAUUCAGUCUUCAGCAGUCUCUUUGGAGCUGAGAUGUACCUACCAUCUGCCUUUUGGGUGCUUAGGGUGGAGAACCAGAAAAGUAUAACCUAGUGUGUAUCCUCAAAGAGCUAACAAUAUGGGGUGGUACCUAUAGGUCUGGAAACACUUUACUGACUCUGUGAGGCAUACCAGGAGACGUCAGAGAACAGUCCCUCCUCAAAUGCCAAAUGAGAUGCAGAAGAAAUAGUUUGCUCAAGUUCAUGGGCCAGAUAUCCCAGUGGUCAGGGAGUUUCAUGAAUGAGAUGGAACUUUGCAUGGAACCCGAGGGAUGUGUAUGAUUUGAGUAGAUGAAGAAAAUGAGACUUUCCAAGCAGCUAGAAGUUAGGGAGCAGCAAGAUGUGUGGUGGGAUUGAGCACAGUUGGUUCAGAGGAUAGACUGCAGUUUUAAUAAUUUGUAGUAAAUAUCUCCCAACUGUUUGGCACUAUUGGAGCAAGUUCUUGAAUGCCAAAUGAAGGCAUAAAUCAGUAAGAGGCAUAAUAAAAGGCUGAGCAGUGCUUGGCUUUUUACGAACUGAUCCUGAUAGGAGCAGCUGUUCAACAAAGUUGCCAGGUCACCGUUACAUAGUCCCUGCCUUCUAGGGGCUCACUGCCUACUGGGAGAGACAGUCUGAAAGUUGGUGGAGCAUGUAACUGUUGGAUGAGGAGUUUGAGCCUGUGGACUGUGGGACCCCCGAGGAGGGUGUGGCUACUCUAGGCAGAACAAUCCCACAGUUUAUUUAUAUUUAACCUUGAAAUUCAUUAGAGGAUUUUUCAGCAGAGGUUUGGUACUUGUUAAUGUUAAGGUUUGCAUUCUCUAGAACCUCAAGGAAAGCUGUACCGUGCAUAAUGUACCCUCUUAUGUUAAUGUUGUGUACUGUGAUCCUGUUUCAGGGACUUGCACUUAGGAAUCUGUUACAGUGAGCACAGAAGCAGACCUGUGGGCUCAUAGUCUUCACCCCCCACCCAUAUAUACAAGAUGAACAGAGUGGAGGUUAAACAACUUGACUAAACAACACAGUUCAUGGUAAAGCCCAAGACUGUACCUGCCCAUCCACUGCCUUUUCCAUGUAUCCUGGAACUGAGCAUAGACCUCUUCCCAGGCAGAGCUGACAGCAAGUAAAGGAGAUCAUAAUCAGGGGACCAAACAACUUUGUCUAAAGUGUGAAUGUCACCUAAGGAGAAGCUGUGAGAUCAGAAGGGUGGGGCAGAGGAGCAGACACCAUGAGGGAGAGUCCUUGGGGGUACAUCUGCCAGACUGACACUGUCUGGCCUGGGCAGUGGAGGGGCUAGCAGGAACCACAGGUACUGGUGGUGUGGCUACUACCGUUACAACUGCCUGUGCUUGGACAUGGACCCUCUGCAAUAUGCGGCAGUUUCAUUCAUUGCCCCCUACAUUCUACACCAAGUAGAAAUGGAAGGCAAUUGGAUACUUCACAGACAAGAUCUAAGUGGAGAAGGAAUGCGUCCUGUGGCUGCAGAGAUCCUUGGAGCUUGGAGGGGAGAGCUUGAGCCCCACUGAUGAUGACCUCCCACAGCUCGCCAACUCAGCCCUCCCUAAGUCCCCAUCGGGGGCCAAUUCUCACUCUGGGGUUGGGGGGACUCCACCAUAGCUCAUCCAUCAUAGGGAUGUUGGUAUCUACUGUGGGUUGGGUAGGGCCGAUGUGCUGAGGAUGGCUCCCCCACAAGCAAGAGAUGUGGAUUUGGGGAGCUUCCCAUCUUGUGUUGAAGGAACAUAACUCAGAAUAAUAAGAGCCAACUAUAACAAACCCACAGCCAACAUCAUACUGAAUGGGCAAAAGCUGCAGGCAUUCCCCUUGAAAAGUGGCACAGGAUAAGGAAGCCCUUUCUCACCACUCCUAUUCAAUAUAGUGUUGAAAGUCCUGAUCACAGCAGUCAGGCAACAGAAAUAAUAAAGGGCAUCCAAAUAGGAAGAGAGGAAGUCAAACUAUCCUUGUUUGCAGACAGUAUGAUUCUAUAUCUAGAAAACCCCAUAGCCUCAGCCCAAAAGGUCCUUCAUCUGAUAAUUUCAGCAAAGUUUCAGGAGACAAAAUCAGUGUACAAAAAUCACUAACAUUCCUAUACACAGUCGCCAAGCCAAGAGCCAAAUCAGGAGCACAAUCCCAUUCAUAAUUGCCACAAAAAAGAAUAAAAUACCCAGGAAUGCAGCUAACCAAGGAAGUAAAGGAUCUCUACAAUGAGAAUCACAAACGCUGCUCAAAGAAAUCAGAGAUGACACAAACAAAUGGAAAAACUUUCCAUGCUCAUGGCUAGGAAGAAUCAAUAUCAUUAAAGUGGCCAUACUACCCAAAGCAAUUUAUAGAUUCAAUGCUAUUCCUAUCAAACUAUCAAUUACAUUUUUCACAGAACUAGAAAAAACUUAAAAUUCAUAUGGAACCAAAAAGCCUGAGUAGUCAAGGCAAUCCUAAACAAAAAGAACAAAGGUGGAGGCAUCACAUUACCUAACUUCAAACUACAGGGCUACCAUGACCAAAACAGCAUGGUACUGGUACAAAAGCAGACACACAGACCAGUGGGACAGAAUAGAGAGCCCAAAAAUAAGGCCACAAACCUACAGCCAUCUGAUCUUCAACAAAGUUGACAAAAACAAGCAAUGGGGAAAGGUCUCCCUAUUCAAUAAAUGGUGCUGGGAUAACUGGCUGGCCAUAUGCAGAAGAUCGUAACUGGACCCCUUUUACUAUGUACAAAAAUUAAGAUGGUUUAAAGAGUUAAAACCCAAAAUUAUAAAAAUCCUGAAGAUAACUUAGGCAAUACCAUUCUGGACAUAGGAACUGGCAAAUAUUUCAUGAUGAAGACACCAAAAGCAAUUGUAACAAAAGCAAAAAUGGACAAAUUGGAUUUAAGAGCUUUUUCAUAGCAAAAUAAACAACAGGGCAGACAAUCUACCAAAUGACAGAAAAUUUUUGCAAACUAUGCAUCUGACAAGGGGCUAAUAUCUAGCAUCUAUAAGGAAUUUAAACACAGUUACAGGAAAAAAAAAACCCACUCCAUUAAAAAAUGGGCAAAGGACAUGAACAGACACUUUUCAAAAAAGACAUACAUACAGCCAACUAGCGUGUUAAAGAAAACCUCAAUUAUCACUGAUCAUUAGAGAAAUGCAAAAUCAAAACCAUGAUGAGAUAUCAUCUGCCAGUCAGGAUGGCUACAAAAAAGUAAAAAAAUAAUAGAUGUUGGUGAGGUUAUGGAGAAAAGGAACUUAUACACUUGUUAGGAGUGUAAAUUAGUUCAAUCACUGUGGACAGCAGUGUGGUGAUUCCUCAGAGAGCUAAAAACAACUACCAUUUGACUCACCAAUCCCAUUACUGGAUAUUUACCUAAAGGAAUAUAAAUCAUUCCACCAUAAAGACACAUGCAAGUGUAUGUUCAUUGCAGCACUAUUAACAGUAACAAAGCUGGGCACAGUGGCUCACCUCACGACUGUAAUCCCAGCACUUUGGGAGGCUGAGGUAGGCGGAUCACCUGAGGUCGGCAGUUUGAGACCAGCCUGACCAACAUGGAGAGACCCCAUCUCUACUAAAAAUACAAAAUUAGCCAGGUGUGGUGGCUCAUGCCUGUAAUCCCAGCUACUUGGGAGGCCAAGGCAGGAGAAUUGCUUGAACCCAGGAGGCAGAGGUUGCAGUGAGCCGAGAUCACACCAUUGCACUCUAGCCUGGUGAAGGAGCAAG